RNAcentral lists this ribosomal RNA (437 nucleotides) under Helcococcus sp. canine oral taxon 069. RNAcentral's name for it is "bacterial SSU rRNA". It matches the Rfam family "Bacterial small subunit ribosomal RNA", at positions 9 to 456 of the family's 1533-position model. The record is from RNAcentral. Lineage: Bacteria; Bacillati; Bacillota; Tissierellia; Tissierellales; Peptoniphilaceae.
GAGUUUGAUUAUGGCUCAGGACAAACGCUGGCGGCGUGCAUAACACAUGCAAGUCGAACGAAAUCUACAUGAUUUAGUGGCGAACGGGUGAGUAACACGUGAGAAACCUGCCUUACACAGAGGGAUAGCCGUUGGAAACGACGAUUAAUACCUCAUGACACCGUGACAUCGCAUGAUGAUGCGGUCAAAGAUUUAUCGGUGUAAGAUGGUCUCGCGCCUGAUUAGCUGGUUGGUGGGGUAACGGCCUACCAAGGCGACGAUCAGUAGCCGAUCUGAGAGGGUGGACGGCCACAUUGGGACUGAGACACGGCCCAAACUCCUACGGGAGGCAGCAGUGGGGAAUUUUGCACAAUGGGGGGAACCCUGAUGCAGCGACGCCGCGUGAACGAAGAAGGCCUUCGGGUUGUAAAGUUCUGUCCUUGGUGAAGAUAAUGACA